UUUCCAUAUAUUAUAUAAUUUUAUUUAUGCUUUUGUAUGUCUUAUUUCCCCGACUGAUUUGUGUGAUGACAUUGUUUGUUCCUUUCUGAAUAACGCUGAUUAUUGGAAUAUUGUCCAUGGUUGACCUCUGUGUUGCAGUGAUCCUUUAUUUGGUUCAUUAUCAAUGAUAGUUAUCUCUUUCUAAUCAGUUUUCAGUGAUGGUUUAUGCUAUAUGUAUUUUCUUUUUGGAGUUUUUCAGUCAGGAAUGGACAACCUUUCUCUGGCAAGUAUGUCCACGUGAACACAAAUUGUGCUAACCGUAGAGUGGUGUUCCUUUGUCCAUGAUAUAUGAGCUUGGGAAAGCAGGGUUACGUAUUUCUUUCAUAUGCUUUUGAUCAAAUUUUGUGGUACUUGGCUCACAUUUUUGCAUCUUUCAAAAAGGUACGUAGCACUACCCAACUGCUAAUUAGCUAUUUAUAUUUAUCGGGUGCACAAUCUACUCUCUUUUUUGCGAAUGGGUGCACAAUCUACUGCUUGAAUGGUUUUCUAAUUAUAAUUGUUUAUAUAGAAUCUCAAGCGGAAUUGCAUGGGCUGUUUGUAUCGAUAAACUAUUGUUCGAAUGGCAAUGGCUACUCAUUUCUUUUAUUCGGUUGCAGAACAAAGUCCUUUGUGUGGGCUACAGGCAAUGCAAAUGUCCAGAACCACUCAUAGAACUUUGCACUUAAUGUAGCAAGAGUUGAGAGAAAUAUAGUCAGCCGUGGCAUGCUAGCACUCAAUACUCAGUAGGCAACAAGAAUGUAACCGAUCUGAGGAACAAAUGCAUAUGACUUAUGUUUUUUUAUUUCCUAA
Long non-coding RNA from Brachypodium distachyon (stiff brome), 828 nucleotides. RefSeq lists it as uncharacterized. NCBI's taxonomy places the organism in Eukaryota, Viridiplantae, Streptophyta, Magnoliopsida, Poales, Poaceae. The transcript has 2 exons. The record is from RefSeq and is a predicted model, not a curated record.